RNAcentral lists this ribosomal RNA (950 nucleotides) under Vibrio sp. BBT51. Its description in RNAcentral is "bacterial SSU rRNA". It matches the Rfam family "Bacterial small subunit ribosomal RNA", at positions 70 to 1016 of the family's 1533-position model. Lineage: Bacteria; Pseudomonadati; Pseudomonadota; Gammaproteobacteria; Vibrionales; Vibrionaceae. The record is from RNAcentral.
UUCCCUUUGAACCUUUCGGGGGACGAUAACGGCGUCGAGCGGCGGACGGGUGAGUAAUGCCUAGGAAAUUGCCCUGAUGUGGGGGAUAACCAUUGGAAACGAUGGCUAAUACCGCAUGAUGCCUACGGGCCAAAGAGGGGGACCUUCGGGCCUCUCGCGUCAGGAUAUGCCUAGGUGGGAUUAGCUAGUUGGUGAGGUAAGGGCUCACCAAGGCGACGAUCCCUAGCUGGUCUGAGAGGAUGAUCAGCCACACUGGAACUGAGACACGGUCCAGACUCCUACGGGAGGCAGCAGUGGGGAAUAUUGCACAAUGGGCGCAAGCCUGAUGCAGCCAUGCCGCGUGUGUGAAGAAGGCCUUCGGGUUGUAAAGCACUUUCAGUCGUGAGGAAGGUGGUGUCGUUAAUAGCUGCAUUAUUUGACGUUAGCGACAGAAGAAGCACCGGCUAACUCCGUGCCAGCAGCCGCGGUAAUACGGAGGGUGCGAGCGUUAAUCGGAAUUACUGGGCGUAAAGCGCAUGCAGGUGGUUUGUUAAGUCAGAUGUGAAAGCCCGGGGCUCAACCUCGGAAUAGCAUUUGAAACUGGCAGACUAGAGUACUGUAGAGGGGGGUAGAAUUUCAGGUGUAGCGGUGAAAUGCGUAGAGAUCUGAAGGAAUACCGGUGGCGAAGGCGGCCCCCUGGACAGAUACUGACACUCAGAUUGCGAAAGCGUGGGGAGCAACAAGGAUUAAAUACCCUGGUAGUCCACGCCGUAAACGAUGUCUACUUGGAGGUUGUGGCCUUGAGCCGUGGCUUUCGGAGCUAACGCGUUAAGUAGACGCCUGGGGAGUACGGUCGCAAGAUAAAACUCAAUGAAUGACGGGGCCCGCACAAGCGGUGGAGCAUGUGUUUAAUCGAUGCAACGCGAGAACUAACUACUCUGACAUCAGAGACUUUCAGAGAUGGAUGUGCU